UAAGGAAUAUUGGUCAAUGGAGGCAACUCUGAACCAGCCAUGCCGCGUGAAGGAUUAAGGCCCUCUGGGUUGUAAACUUCUUUUAUAUGGGAAGAAAUGUUCUGAUUCUUCAGAGCUUGACGGUACCAUAGGAAUAAGCACCGGCUAACUCCGUGCCAGCAGCCGCGGUAAUACGGAGGGUGCAAGCGUUAUCCGGAUUCACUGGGUUUAAAGGGUGCGUAGGUGGGCAGAUAGGUCAGUGGUGAAAUCUUCCGGCUUAACCGGAAAAUUGCCGUUGAUACUAAUUGUCGUGAAUAUUGUGGAGGUAAGCGGAAUAUGUCAUGUAGCGGUGAAAUGCUUAGAUAUGACAUAGAACACCAAUUGCGAAGGCAGCUUACUAUAUAAUUAUUGACACUGAGGCACGAAAGCGUGGGUAGCGAACA
Molecule: ribosomal RNA, 422 nt
Filed under: uncultured bacterium
Lineage: Bacteria
Description: bacterial SSU rRNA
Rfam family: Bacterial small subunit ribosomal RNA
Source: RNAcentral